This 497-nucleotide ribosomal RNA is filed under the name uncultured bacterium. Its description in RNAcentral is "partial 16S ribosomal RNA". It matches the Rfam family "Bacterial small subunit ribosomal RNA", at positions 28 to 507 of the family's 1533-position model. The record is from RNAcentral.
GAUGAACGCUGGCGGCGUGCCUAAUACAUGCAAGUCGAGCGAACAGAUGAGGAGCUUGCUCCUCUGACGUUAGCGGCGGACGGGUGAGUAACACGUGGAUAACCUACCUAUAAGACUGGGAUAACUUCGGGAAACCGGAGCUAAUACCGGAUAAUAUAUUGAACCGCAUGGUUCAAUAGUGAAAGACGGUUUUGCUGUCACUUAUAGAUGGAUCCGCGCCGCAUUAGCUAGUUGGUAAGGUAACGGCUUACCAAGGCAACGAUGCGUAGCCGACCUGAGAGGGUGAUCGGCCACACUGGAACUGAGACACGGUCCAGACUCCUACGGGAGGCAGCAGUAGGGAAGCUUCCGCAAUGGGCGAAAGCGUGACGGAGCAACGCCGCGUGAGUGAUGAAGGUCUUCGGAUCGUAAAACUCUGUUAUUAGGGAAGAACAAAUGUGUAAGUAACUAUGCACGUCUUGACGGUACCUAAUCAGAAAGCCACGGCUAACUACGUG